Molecule: ribosomal RNA, 253 nt
Filed under: uncultured bacterium
Lineage: Bacteria
Description: partial 16S ribosomal RNA
Rfam family: Bacterial small subunit ribosomal RNA
Source: RNAcentral
UACAGAGGGUGCAAGCGUUGUUCGGAAUUACUGGGCGUAAAGGGUUCGUAGGUGGCCAACUAAGUCAUACGUGAAAUCCCUCAGCUUAACUGGGGAACUGCGUCUGAUACUGGUUGGCUUGAGUGCAGGAGAGGAACGCGGAAUUCCAGGUGUAGCGGUGAAAUGCGUAGAUAUCUGGAGGAACACCGGUGGCGAAGGCGGCGUUCUGGACUGCAACUGACACUGAGGAACGAAAGCCAGGGGAGCAAACGGG